Molecule: ribosomal RNA, 492 nt
Filed under: uncultured bacterium
Lineage: Bacteria
Description: partial 16S ribosomal RNA
Rfam family: Bacterial small subunit ribosomal RNA
Source: RNAcentral
GACGAACGCUGGCGGCGUGCUUAACACAUGCAAGUGGAGCGACGAACCAGGGCUUGCCCUGGGGCAGAGCCGCGAACGGGUGAGUAACACGUGGGUAACGUGCCCCGAUGACUGGGACAACCCGGGGAAACCCGGGCUAAUACCGGAUGUGCCCCCUCACAUCAGUGAGGUGUGUAAAGGAAGCUUCGGCCUCCGCAUCGGGAUCGGCCCGCGGCCCAUUAGCUUGUUGGUGAGGUAACGGCUCACCAAGGCUGCGAUGGGUAGCUGGUCUGAGAGGACGAUCAGCCACACUGGGACUGAGACACGGCCCAGACUCCUACGGGAGGCAGCAGUGGGGAAUCUUGCGCAAUGCGCGAAAGCGUGACACAGCAACGCCGCGUGGGGGAAGACGGCCUUCGGGUUGUAAACCCCUUUCAGUUGGGACGAAGGUCGGGCGGUUAACAGCCGUUCCGGCUGACGGUACCUUCACAAGAAGCCCCGGCUAACUACGUG